UACGUAGGGUGCAAGCGUUGUCCGGAAUUCUUGGGCGUAAAGAGCUCGUAGGCGGUCUGUCACGUCUGCCGUGAAAACCCGAGGCUUAACCUCGUGGCUUGCGGUGGAUACGGGCAGACUAGAGGUAGGUAGGGGAGAACGGAAUUCCCGGUGUAGCGGUGAAAUGCGCAGAUAUCGGGAGGAACACCAGUGGCGAAGGCGACUACCUGGCCUGUUUCUUGACGCUGAGGCGCGAAAGCUAGGGGAGCAAACGGG
This 255-nucleotide ribosomal RNA is filed under the name uncultured bacterium. Its description in RNAcentral is "partial 16S ribosomal RNA". It matches the Rfam family "Bacterial small subunit ribosomal RNA", at positions 524 to 776 of the family's 1533-position model. The record is from RNAcentral.